UGGCGAGCUAGCCCGGGUGAUUAGGCGUCACCUAUGACUCGAAAUCGUCUUGAUGCGAGGGGCGAAGCCUGAGGAAGGCGCUUCUGAUGCAUGAAGGCCUUACCGCUCUACGUUGAAGGUCCGUCCUGCUGGGUUAGCGGUGGUAAAUCGCCGUGCUGGAGAGCACGUCGACUGCCUUAAUUGCGGGGACCGGCACAGGCCCGGAAGGGAGCAUGCUAACCGUGGACAACUGACGCUUGCAGGGUCACGGGCCGGAGGAAAGCGGUAAGAUAACCUAUCAUGUGCGGGUGCGACAACCGAUGGUGCGCUCGCUA
This 314-nucleotide signal recognition particle RNA is filed under the name Methanobacteriota archaeon. RNAcentral describes it as "Euryarchaeota archaeon signal recognition particle sRNA". It matches the Rfam family "Archaeal signal recognition particle RNA". The record is from RNAcentral. Lineage: Archaea; Methanobacteriati; Methanobacteriota.